RNAcentral lists this ribosomal RNA (460 nucleotides) under uncultured bacterium. RNAcentral describes it as "partial 16S ribosomal RNA". It matches the Rfam family "Bacterial small subunit ribosomal RNA", at positions 338 to 795 of the family's 1533-position model. The record is from RNAcentral.
CCUACGGGGGGCAGCAGUGAGGAAUAUUGGUCAAUGGACGAGAGUCUGAACCAGCCAAGUAGCGUGAAGGAUGACUGCCCUAUGGGUUGUAAACUUCUUUUAUAUGGGAAUAAAACGUUCCACGUGUGGGAUUUUGUAUGUACCAUAUGAAUAAGGAUCGGCUAACUCCGUGCCAGCAGCCGCGGUAAUACGGAGGAUCCGAGCGUUAUCCGGAUUUAUUGGGUUUAAAGGGAGCGUAGGUGGAUUGUUAAGUCAGUUGUGAAAGUUUGCGGCUCAACCGUAAAAUUGCAGUUGAAACUGGCAGUCUUGAGUACAGUAGAGGUGGGCGGAGUUCGUGGUGUAGCGGUGAAAUGCUUAGAUAUCACGAAGAACUCCGAUUGCGAAGGCAGUUCACUGGACUGCAACUGACACUGAGGCUCGAAAGUGUGGGUAUCAAACAGGAUUAGAUACCCUGGUAGUC